Molecule: transfer RNA, 73 nt
Filed under: Fluviicoccus keumensis
Lineage: Bacteria; Pseudomonadati; Pseudomonadota; Gammaproteobacteria; Moraxellales; Moraxellaceae
Rfam family: tRNA
About the family: Transfer RNA (tRNA) molecules are approximately 80 nucleotides in length. Their secondary structure includes four short double-helical elements and three loops (D, anti-codon, and T loops).
Source: Rfam by way of RNAcentral
GCCGAAAUAGCUCAGUCGGUAGAGCAACUGAUUCGUAAUCAGUAGGUCGCAGGUUCGAUUCCUGUUUUCGGCA